RNAcentral lists this transfer RNA (69 nucleotides) under Osteocephalus yasuni. RNAcentral describes it as "tRNA-Gly". It matches the Rfam family "tRNA". Rfam says of the family: Transfer RNA (tRNA) molecules are approximately 80 nucleotides in length. Their secondary structure includes four short double-helical elements and three loops (D, anti-codon, and T loops). The record is from RNAcentral. Lineage: Eukaryota; Metazoa; Chordata; Amphibia; Anura; Hylidae.
AUUUUCUUAGUAUAAAAAGUACAGGUGACUUCCAAUCACUCAGCCUUGGUUUAAAUCCGGGAGAAAAUA